This 1354-nucleotide ribosomal RNA is filed under the name uncultured bacterium. Its description in RNAcentral is "bacterial SSU rRNA". It matches the Rfam family "Bacterial small subunit ribosomal RNA", at positions 28 to 1381 of the family's 1533-position model. The record is from RNAcentral.
AUUGAACGCUGGCGGCAGGCUUAACACAUGCAAGUCGAACGAUGAUUAUCUAGCUUGCUAGAUAUGAUUAGUGGCGGACGGGUGAGUAACAUUUAGGAAUCUGCCUAGUAGUGGGGGAUAGCUCGGGGAAACUCGAAUUAAUACCGCAUACGACCUACGGGUGAAAGGGGGCGCAAGCUCUUGCUAUUAGAUGAGCCUAAAUCAGAUUAGCUAGUUGGUGGGGUAAAGGCCACCAAGGCGACGAUCUGUAACUGGUCUGAGAGGAUGAUCAGUCACACCGGAACUGAGACACGGUCCGGACUCCUACGGGAGGCAGCAGUGGGGAAUAUUGGACAAUGGGGGCAACCCUGAUCCAGCCAUGCCGCGUGUGUGAAGAAGGCCUUUUGGUUGUAAAGCACUUUAAGCAGGGAGGAGAGGCUAAUGGUUAAUACCCAUUAGAUUAGACGUUACCUGCAGAAUAAGCACCGGCUAACUCUGUGCCAGCAGCCGCGGUAAUACAGAGGGUGCGAGCGUUAAUCGGAAUUACUGGGCGUAAAGCGAGUGUAGGUGGCUCAUUAAGUCACAUGUGAAAUCCCCGGGCUUAACCUGGGAACUGCAUGUGAUACUGGUGGUGCUAGAAUAUGUGAGAGGGAAGUAGAAUUCCAGGUGUAGCGGUGAAAUGCGUAGAGAUCUGGAGGAAUACCGAUGGCGAAGGCAGCUUCCUGGCAUAAUAUUGACACUGAGAUUCGAAAGCGUGGGUAGCAAACAGGAUUAGAUACCCUGGUAGUCCACGCCGUAAACGAUGUCUACUAGCCGUUGGGGUCCUUGAGACUUUAGUGGCGCAGUUAACGCGAUAAGUAGACCGCCUGGGGAGUACGGCCGCAAGGUUAAAACUCAAAUGAAUUGACGGGGGCCCGCACAAGCGGUGGAGCAUGUGGUUUAAUUCGAUGCAACGCGAAGAACCUUACCUGGUCUUGACAUAGUGAGAAUCCUGUAGAGAUGCGGGAGUGCCUUCGGGAAUUCACAUACAGGUGCUGCAUGGCUGUCGUCAGCUCGUGUCGUGAGAUGUUGGGUUAAGUCCCGCAACGAGCGCAACCCUUUUCCUUAUUUGCCAGCGGGUUAAGCCGGGAACUUUAAGGAUACUGCCAGUGACAAACUGGAGGAAGGCGGGGACGACGUCAAGUCAUCAUGGCCCUUACGACCAGGGCUACACACGUGCUACAAUGGUAGGUACAGAGGGUUGCUACACAGCGAUGUGAUGCUAAUCUCAAAAAGCCUAUCGUAGUCCGGAUUGGAGUCUGCAACUCGACUCCAUGAAGUCGGAAUCGCUAGUAAUCGCGGAUCAGAAUGCUGCGGUGAAUACGUUCCCGGGCCU